RNAcentral lists this ribosomal RNA (243 nucleotides) under uncultured Actinomycetales bacterium. RNAcentral describes it as "partial 16S ribosomal RNA". It matches the Rfam family "Bacterial small subunit ribosomal RNA", at positions 88 to 334 of the family's 1533-position model. The record is from RNAcentral. Lineage: Bacteria; Bacillati; Actinomycetota; Actinomycetes; Actinomycetales.
UACUCGAGUGGCGAACGGGUGAGUAACACGUGGGUGAUCUGCCCUGCACUCUGGGAUAAGCCUGGGAAACUGGGUCUAAUACCGGAUAGGACCAUGCUUUAGUGUGUGUGGUGGAAAGUUUUUUCGGUGUAGGAUGAGCCCGCGGCCUAUCAGCUUGUUGGUGGGGUAAUGGCCUACCAAGGCGGCGACGGGUAGCCGGACUGAGAGGUUGGUAGGCCACAUUGGGACUGAGAUACGGCCCAG